GCCUUGUAGAGCGAGUCGGCGGCGAUCUCCAUGCGGCGCAUGAGGGCCAUGUCGCGGAAGAAUUUCAUGAGCUCGGCGGCGGAGGUCUCGACGGUGCGGGAGGGGACGUCGCAGACGUGGGAGGUGAAGGGGAGGGAGGUCUCGAUGGUGAUCGGGGAGGUGGAGUCGGAGGAGAGGGAGCGGCGGAGGGAGAGGGCGGAGGCGAGGGGUUUGAGGAGGCUGGAUCCGGAGGAGGAGGAGGAGAGGCGGGAGAGAGCCAUGGUGGCGGGAUUGGAUCGGCUCUGGGAGAGAGUGAGAUCCGGUGGAGGAGGGUUUGGUGAAGAAGGAGUGAGGGGGU
RNAcentral lists this long non-coding RNA (337 nucleotides) under Fragaria vesca (wild strawberry). RNAcentral describes it as "long non-coding RNA (FVES_LNC002101)". The record is from RNAcentral. Lineage: Eukaryota; Viridiplantae; Streptophyta; Magnoliopsida; Rosales; Rosaceae.